GGCCACACUGGGAGUGAGACACGGCCCAGAUUCUUCCGGGAGGCACCAGUAGGGAAUCUUUCCCCAAUGGACGAAAGUCUGACGGAGCAAACGCCCGCGUGAGUGAUGAAGGUUUUCGGAUUCGUAAAGCUUUGUUGUUUAGGGAAGAACAAGUGCGAGAGUAACUGCUCGCACCUUGACGGUACCUAACCAGAAAGCCACGGCUAACUACGUGCCAGCAGCCGCGGUAAUACGUUGGUGGCAAGCGUUGUCCGGAAUUAUUGGGCGUAAAGGGCUCGCAGGCGGUUUCUUAAGUCUGAUGUGAAAGCCCCCGGCUCAACCGGGGAGGGUCAUUGGAAACUGGGAAACUUGAGUGCAGAAGAGGAGAGUGGAAUUCCACGUGUAGCGGUGAAAUGCGUAGAGAUGUGGAGGAACACCAGUGGCGAAGGCGACUCUCUGGUCUGUAACUGACGCUGAGGAGCGAAAGCGUGGGGAGCGAACAGGAUUAGAUACCCUGGUAGUCCACGCCGUAAACGAUGAGUGCUAAGUGUUAGGGGGUUUCCGCCCCUUAGUGCUGCAGCUAACGCAUUAAGCACUCCGCCUGGGGAGUACGGUCGCAAGACUGAAACUCAAAGGAAUUGACGGGGGCCCGCACAAGCGGUGGAGCAUGUGGUUUAAUUCGAAGCAACGCGAAGAACCUUACCAGGUCUUGACAUCCUCUGACAACCCUAGAGAUAGGGCUUUCCCUUCGGGGACAGAGUGACAGGUGGUGCAUGGUUGUCGUCAGCUCGUGUCGUGAGAUGUUGGGUUAAGUCCCGCAACGAGCGCAACCCUUGAUCUUAGUUGCCAGCAUUUAGUUGGGCACUCUAAGGUGACUGCCGGUGACAAACCGGAGGAAGGUGGGGAUGACGUCAAAUCAUCAUGCCCCUUAUGACCUGGGCUACACACGUGCUACAAUGGACAGAACAAAGGGCUGCGAGACCGCAAGGUUUAGCCAAUCCCAUAAAUCUGUUCUCAGUUCGGAUCGCAGUCUGCAACUCGACUGCGUGAAGCUGGAAUCGCUAGUAAUCGCGGAUCAGCAUGCCGCGGUGAAUACGUUCCCGGGCCUUGUACACACCGCCCGUCACACCACGAGAGUUUGUAACACCCGAAGUCGGUGAGGUAACCUUUAUGGAGCCAGCCGCCGAAGGUGGACAGA
Molecule: ribosomal RNA, 1177 nt
Filed under: Bacillus pumilus
Lineage: Bacteria; Bacillati; Bacillota; Bacilli; Caryophanales; Bacillaceae
Description: bacterial SSU rRNA
Rfam family: Bacterial small subunit ribosomal RNA
Source: RNAcentral